GUAAAUGCAAUGAACAGGAAGAGUACGUUGAACCUGGCAUUCAGAGAGGGAGGCAUAAGCUGAGAGUCUUCCAUGCCAAGACAAUGGAAUGUCGCCUGAGAGCAGUUCCCGUGAACUUUAAGUAGUGGGAACCGGUGAAAAGCCGUUAUGGGUCUUUGAGAGCCUGGGGAAACCCGGGAAUUAAGGUGGUACCGCGAAUGAGAGAUCCUUCGUCCUUUUU
RNAcentral lists this non-coding RNA (220 nucleotides) under Rossellomorea marisflavi. Its description in RNAcentral is "Bacillus marisflavi T-box sequence". It matches the Rfam family "T-box leader". Rfam says of the family: Uncharged tRNA acts as the effector for transcription antitermination of genes in the T-box leader family. RNAcentral also lists the same sequence under 1 other name. The record is from RNAcentral. Lineage: Bacteria; Bacillati; Bacillota; Bacilli; Caryophanales; Bacillaceae.